Molecule: ribosomal RNA, 306 nt
Filed under: uncultured bacterium
Lineage: Bacteria
Description: bacterial SSU rRNA
Rfam family: Bacterial small subunit ribosomal RNA
Source: RNAcentral
GAUGAACGCUGGCGGCGUGCCUAAUACAUGCAAGUCGAACGCACAGCGAUAGGUGCUUGCACCUAUCAAGUGAGUGGCGAACGGGUGAGUAACACGUGGACAACCUGCCUCAAGGCUGGGGAUAACAUUUGGAAACAGAUGCUAAUACCGAAUAAAACUUAGUGUCGCAUGACACCAGGUUAAAAGGCGCUACGGCGUCACCUAGAGAUGGAUCCGCGGUGCAUUAGUUAGUUGGUGAGGUAAAGGCUCACCAAGACAAUGAUGCAUAGCCGAGUUGAGAGACUGAUCGGCCACAUUGGGACUGAG